GACGAACGCUGGCGGCGUGCUUAACACAUGCAAGUCGAACGGAAAGGCCCUGCUUUUGUGGGGUGCUCGAGUGGCGAACGGGUGAGUAACACGUGAGUAACCUGCCCUUGACUUUGGGAUAACUUCAGGAAACUGGGGCUAAUACCGGAUAGGAGCUCUUGCUGCAUGGUGGGGGUUGGAAAGUUUCGGCGGUUGGGGAUGGACUCGCGGCUUAUCAGCUUGUUGGUGGGGUAGUGGCUUACCAAGGCUUUGACGGGUAGUCGGCCUGAGAGGGUGACCGGCCACAUUGGGACUGAGAUACGGCCCAGACGCCUACGGGAGGCAGCAGUGGGGAAUAUUGCACAAUGGGCGGAAGCCUGAGGCAGCAACGCCGCGUGCGGGAUGACGGCCUUCGGGUUGUAAACCGCUUUCGCCUGUGACGAAGCGUGAGUGACGGUAAUGGGUAAAGAAGCACCGGCUAACUACGUG
RNAcentral lists this ribosomal RNA (468 nucleotides) under uncultured bacterium. Its description in RNAcentral is "partial 16S ribosomal RNA". It matches the Rfam family "Bacterial small subunit ribosomal RNA", at positions 28 to 507 of the family's 1533-position model. The record is from RNAcentral.